GCAACUCCCAUCGGGCGAUUAAAAUAUUUCGUCGGCUAUUGAAAUACUGAAUCGACCUCUCUCGUCGACAUCGCGAUAAUUAACACGUGUAGAGUGUGUGACGUAUCAUGAUUUCUCGGACACCAAAUAUUCUCGUCAUUGAUGGAAGAGCGACAACGGUUCGCCGAUUGGCCGAAAGUGACUUUGCCCUUUUCCAAGUUGCCAAUUGUUUCGGCGCUCUCGCGCUUCUCGUGUAUUUACCCGUGACUGAGUCAUUAUGUCUCGAGCCGAACGAACGGCGCACACAGCGUGUAUCGGCGCGUUAUUUACACUUCCCGUCGAGAGGAGUGAGUGCAAUUUUUCGCGUCGGCCAUUGAAGGAUUUAAUCGGGCUCGCGUCGCGUUAGUUAAUGCACGUUUUCCCGUACUGAAUCGUAUCGUCAGCGACGAGCGUCAACAUCAGUGCCAGCGAGUGUCCGGAAUCACGAAGCAACCAGGACAGAAUGCUGGAUUUGUAAGCUAGGACGCGGAACGUGGGAUGCGAGAUGCGAGCGGUACAUCAUGUAUAUUUCCUGGUAUGCGUGAAGAUUAAGGGCAGAUAGAGUAUUGAGAUAAUGGAGUGCAAAAUAAUUUCGAACAUCCGUUUGCGACAAAUUAUAACAUCGGCAUGGCACAACAACAACGAGCAAUACAAGAUCUGGAGCCAUUGUUGAGGUUCUUAGCAGGUUCUUCCUUAAGCGUCAACAUGGAAGAAAUGGCGAUUCCUUCAGCAAGCAAAUAUUUACAGCAUGAAGGCUCGAGCGUAAACUACGUUUAAAUCCGCACAUCGAUAUCCCAAUCUGCGCAGCGCGCGAGCGCGCGCUUGGGAAAUGAUAUUUCGCCGCGCAGUUGCUGGAAAACUUAAUCGACGACGACAUGAUCGGAUUUUCUCGCGCGCGAAAGGAGAGAAGGCGAUUUCAAAAAAAAAAAGGAAAAAAGAAGAAGAGAAUAAAACCAAACAGCGGAAA
Odontomachus brunneus is the source of this 985-nucleotide long non-coding RNA. RefSeq lists it as uncharacterized. The record is from RefSeq and is a predicted model, not a curated record. The transcript is spliced from 3 exons. NCBI's taxonomy places the organism in Eukaryota, Metazoa, Arthropoda, Insecta, Hymenoptera, Formicidae.